This 460-nucleotide ribosomal RNA is filed under the name uncultured bacterium. Its description in RNAcentral is "partial 16S ribosomal RNA". It matches the Rfam family "Bacterial small subunit ribosomal RNA", at positions 338 to 795 of the family's 1533-position model. The record is from RNAcentral.
CCUACGGGGGGCUGCAGUGAGGAAUAUUGGUCAAUGGACGCAAGUCUGAACCAGCCAUGCCGCGUGCAGGAAGACGGCUCUAUGAGUUGUAAACUGCUUUUGUACGCGGGUAAACUCAGAUACGCGUAUUGUUCUGAAAUUAUCGUACGAAUAAGGAUCGGCUAACUCCGUGCCAGCAGCCGCGGUAAUACGGAGGAUUCAAGCGUUAUCCGGAUUUAUUGGGUUUAAAGGGUGCGUAGGCGGUAUGAUAAGUUAGAGGUGAAAUCCCGAGGCUCAACUUCGGAAUUGCCUCUGAUACUGUUCGGCUAGAGAGUAGUUGCGGUAGGCGGAAUGUAUGGUGUAGCGGUGAAAUGCUUAGAGAGCAUAAAGAACACCGAUUGCGAAGGCAGCUUACCAAGGUACUUCUGACGUUGAGGCACGAAAGCGCGGGGAGCAAACAGGAUUAGAUACCCGGGUAGUC